Molecule: long non-coding RNA, 6461 nt
Organism: Passer domesticus (house sparrow)
Lineage: Eukaryota; Metazoa; Chordata; Aves; Passeriformes; Passeridae
Exons: 4
Source: RefSeq, a predicted model, not a curated record
GGGAGAUGCUUUGGGGUGGACAGGAUUUUGUCCUGCUGGCUCCAGUCAGGAGAUGGGAUGAGUGGCAAGGGGCAGCCUUGCAGCUGGGGGGGCGUGUUGAUGCUGCAACAAGUGGUGAAGCUGGAACAGGAAGCUGGUGCUUCACAAACAGAUUUAUUGUUGUGAGUGGGGCAAAAGUCCCAGGGACAGCGGUGCCUGUGUGUGGGCAGGUUUGACUUGUAUAACCUGCCUUUGCUGGGACUUUGGAUGGAAUUUUCAGUGGCACAAAAGGAAGUUCAGUGCCUGAAUCCUGCUGUGAUUUUGCCUUUUAAGUUUAAUGUUGCUGUUUCCCAUCCUCUUCAGGCCUCAGGGAACCCUCCCAGGCAGGCCAUGCUUGCAGUGAUGUGAAGAAAGGACAGGUUUUGGCAGAGAGACCUCCAAGUGCACAUGCUGAAGUGGUGGCUGGUCAGAAACAACACCAAAGUUCAAAUGAAAUCAAGGACUUGGAGAUUUUGCAUCCUGCCCCUGCUGCAUGUGUCCUACCAGAGUGUUUUGGGGAAGCUGGUGAGCCAGCCAAUGCCGUGGACAUAGGAAAAAGGACAUCUCCAGUGCCCUCUUAUGUCCCCUGAAGAUUUUGUACUGGGUGGCAGUCCUCCCAGAGGGAUGUGCACAGGCCACCUGGAUGGGCAGGUGAUGUCAAAUGUCCUUGUCCUGCCUAAUUCAGGGAGGCAUGAGCUGAAAAAAGAAGUGUUUUCCCCUCGUGUGCUUUCCUGGGAGUAGUAGUGGCACAAGUGCCAGGGAGUUUGCUGUGGCCUCUGAGCCGCUCCAGCCUUUGACAGGGGUGUUGAUUUCCCUUGACUCCCAGCCAGAGCCACCUCUGAAAUGGUGGUAUGGGUCAGGCUGAGCUGAGACCAAGGAACCCAGGGAGAGUGGAGGCCCCUUUGUCACCCACCUGGUCGUGGGGCAGCCUCCUUGGCCACUCUGGGUGGAGGUCAGCUCCUCUGCUGUCCACAGAAGGCUCCUGCUGUGGGUUCUGUCCAUUGGGUGAUGUUCCUCCAGGGAAAAAGCCCUCUGAGACCCACUCUUGUCCUUCCAUGAGCUAGGAGAAGACUGUUCUGCUGAGGCAGGAGCCAGUAAGAAAAGUGACUACUUCUUCUUCCCCUUUAUUUUUUAUGGAUUUAUUUUUUCACUUUGCUGAAUUUAUUUUCACUUUGUUCUUUUUUUUUUAUUUACUUGGCUCAACUCCAUCAUUUUUAUUUGCCUCCCCUGUGUGCUCUUCAGACUGACAGUGCUUUUCACCCUGCUCUCUGCACCUCCCUCCCUGCUUGGUUGUUCCUUGGGUGCUGGAGUUCAUUCCUGUGUGUGGAACACUGCUCAGCAGAGGAAGCUGUGGGAGGGCCAUCCCAGCUGGGUGGGUGCCUGUGCCAGGCUGCUGUUACCAUGUGUGACUCAGGUGUCCCUCACUCCUGCUCCCAGACACUCGCUGACCUUUUCCUGCCAGCUCUGAGAUGGGGCCACAGGCCACCUCUCACGCAGCCUGUCCCUCUUUAGAGAUAUGAUAGAAUUCCUUUAUCUCCCAAUGCCAGGCAGGCCUGGGAUGCUCAGAGGUGCAGAUAACAUUGCUGCUGUGUGUACCAGGGGCUGGGCAAGCGAGCAGGAAGCCUCUCUUCUCCCUUAGAACUCAGCAGGACAGCCUGAUCAUAUCCCUGCCCUUGUUUUUAUUUCUGGGGGAUCCAGUUUCUCUUUCCAACCCGUUAGCAAAUCUCAGUGCAGCCCUUCUGGGUCCUGGUGACCGCCUGGCUGUGCAAAGUCCUUGAGGAAGGGGCAGCAGCCAAAGCCAGCUGGCAGGGGUGGCUGGCUACAGCUCCACCAGGAGCUGCAGGACUCUGGAGCAAGGAUGGGUGGAUCCUGGGAGGAUGGGUGCGUUCAGGCUGUGGUGCAAAAGCUGGUGGAGAAGCCAGGAGGUGCAUGAAAAAGCAGUUCAUGGCCUGGCAAAGGAGAUAAGGAGAAAAUUGAUCCCUGGCUAAACAACCAGGGCUCUUGCUCCUUCAGGUCUGUCCCUCCAGGGGCAUAGUGCAAAUGUAAAUGUCCAGGUAUUUAUGUGCUCUGGCAUAAACCCAAAACUACUUUUGGUACUAUCACAGAAGAAACAGCAAAACUGUAGUCACCAUUAGCACAGAAUACUUGUGAUGCUCCCAUCUAACACCCCAGUGCAUUUUCCUGUGAUAUUUUAUGGUGAGAACAUAAAGCCUGGCAUCUUUCAGUUUUAUGAUUGAAAGAUGUUUACAACAACAAAACUAUGUGGGAAUUCAGUAUUUUCCACAUCAUCAGAUUAAAAGCCCGUCUCUCAACUUAUUUACUGCUCCACCUAAGGCUUUUACUGCACCUGUCUUCACAAGCAUCGGAGCAUUCAUGUUUCGUCUGUCUUUUUGUGGCCAGAUGAAGUCAUCUUGGAGCAUGGGUGCGGUGGUGAAAGACACACACAGUGAAUUUACAUCUCUUGGAUAAAGGGAGAAACUGAAGAAAGAUUUCCCCUGUGAGCUGGCUUUUAUCGUCAGUGUGAACAUCUUAGUCAGCACAAGUUCAGACUUCUAAAAUUGUGCAGCCGUGUGCUGGGAGAGCUACAGCCCCUGCAGCUUCCUGCUUCCCUGGAUCAGCCGAGGGUAAAGGCUCCAGGAUCUGGUGCUCCUCUGGCAGGAAUGGCUGAGCUCAGGCGAGAUGGAUUGGUAUCUUUCAUCCAGAGCACCAUCAAGAGUAAAGAAAAAUUGUAUGGUGAUCAUGGGAAGUCUGACUGGGAAGCGUGUGAUGCAGGCCAUCAAGUUUUAAACUUCAAGGAACCCUUUGAAAUCCCAGGGUUUCCCGUGUGCUGCCUGGUCACUGUUUCCAUCAGCUGUCCCUUCACCAGAUUCCUGGGAAGAUGUCACCUGGCAAUUACAUGCACCACAGGUUCCCCGAGGUUCAUGCUCUUCCCUGCAGAGCCUUGCAAAGCUUCCAGGAUGGUUGGGACUGACUGAAGAGCAGUAGGAGUUGCUUUAUCCUCCUCUUCCUCUCCAGGCUACAUUCCCUGCUAAUACAGGCAGCUCCCUCCUGUGCUGAGGGUAGUUUCCAUGGAGUCAGGAAAUAUGAGAAGCAGAGAAGUGGGAAACUCUGGAUCUGCUAGACAAGCCUCGACUCUCCUUGGGGGCCUGAAUGUGUGCAAAAGCUGUGGGUGGUCUGAAUUUUGGGUGCUUGAGCAGGAGGCUUCGGAUGUUGGUGUGGAUAUCCAAGCUGCUUUGAGAAUACUUUAGGCUGAAUGAGAAGUGAAUUCCCUAAAUCUCUCCCCUAGGGUCUCACUGACUUUCAGCAAAAUCAUCCCUCAGAGGCCACUCAGCAAUCUUCAUUCAUGGAGUUCUCAGCGAUGCUCUGCUGAAGAGUCCCCUUUGAAAAGGUUUUUGUGCUGUAAUCUGCUGCCUGGUUACUCAACUGGUGCAGCUUACAGACCUCCGCUGGUUGUUGCACGUCUUUUAAUUUUUAAGGGUUUAUUUCAGCUCCUUUGUGAAGUGUAAGGAAAUGGAUGAUUAGCAAAAUUCUUCCCAGUAUUUUAGAAGCAUUAGUAAAUGUUGAAUAAAGGGCAAUCACACUGUUGUUUUCAUGGGAACUGUGAAAUAAAGACUGCUAGAUUAGGUGCAAUCCUGAUCUUAAAGUCACAAUUCUUACACAAUGUUUUUUGCACUCUGGUGCAAAAACUCGUAUGUGAGAAUGUGUGCUAGCAAUGAGCCAAGUAAUUCAGCACUGCAGGAAUCCCACCAACUUCAUCUCCAAGCUGGUAAUGAACAUGGGCCUGGACACGUCCAACUGAUGUGUUUGCCUGCAGAAAUUAUCUAUGUGCAGUCAAUGACAGCAGCAUCCUUCAGAUGUUGGGUUUGAUGCAGUGAGCAUACGUGACACUUCUGCUUUGCUUCCUCUUCUUGCUGUGCCCUGGACUCAGCUGUGCUCUCCUUUCUGUAAUCUAGCCAGAGACACCCUGUUCCUGGGAAAAGGCACCCUGGGCCUGGAAAAAGGCGAGCUGGGCUGCUGUGUUGGAGAACUUAUGUCAGCCUCCAGCAGCUAGCUGAUCCCCUGUGCCUUGCUGCUCUUUUGCACGGCUUCAGUACCUUGAGCCAGUGUGUUUCCAGCUGGCAGUGGUGUGCCUGAGCAGGGCUGAACAGCAACUGCUUGGAGGACCAGAGCGGUGUGGUUGGAGCAGAGGUGCUUGCUGACGUAGCUGACUAGAUGAACUGGUUGACUGGUUAAACACUGGUGGCAAAAGAACUUGCAAAGCUGCUUUGCAGAAGUGGGUGGGUCUCAGCCACAUCCUCACUGGCUUUGGUAUUUGUCCUCAAGCCUGAUUUCCAUUUUCUGUACACCCUUUGCUUUCUGCUCUCCUUCUUUUUUGGUAGGAGAUGUCAGCCAGUAUGUUGUGGCAGCCUGCCAGAAGUGACUGGAGACAUUUGCUGGAUGAACAAAGCCUAUCCACUCCCUGUCCAGCCUGACAAUGACACAGAAGGCAUGGGGCACCCAGUCACAGUCCUGUUGCUCAUCUUUCAAACUGCAGGAGAUGAAUGGGAGAAGAGACCAUUUGUCCUGAUGACACCUCUUCAGGACACAUCCAUGUGAGCCCAAGGGACCAGAAAGAUCCCCACAUGGUUUAGUGAUGAUUGCUGUUGAAGACUGCAACCAAAACCCAGGAGCCACCCUCUUUUGGAGAAAGAGUUUGAGAGGUAGAGAGGAGGCAGGGGAGAAGUGAGUUUAUUUAGCAUUAUCCACUUAAGGUCUUCUCUAGUUGCUCUCAGAGCAUUUUCCAGAGGACACUGCUAUUCUUACCCUGCCUUAUCCCAUAGGGAAAAGCACAGCAGUAAGGUGGCUGAGCUGUGGUCAGUGCAAAGCCUGGAGAAGGAGGGAUUUUGCUCUCUGGGAUUUCAGCUAGGUGGUUGCUACCAGUUAAGUUAUAAGUCAUAUAAAAAUAUCUGUUCUAUUGUCUUUAUUUAGAAAUCACCAUUUCAAGUGAGAAGUGGGUAGAGGGAGAGUCAGCAAUCCCUGCUGCUUCCACUUCUUUUCCUUACUAGUCUGCCUGUCAAUUCCCUUUUACCAUUUUACAUGUGGUCACUUGAUACCAGCAGCUGUUUUGGGACAUCUCUAUCUGUCACAUCCUUCUUUUUACUUCAGUGUCUAAAACAAAACAAUUCAAAACCCCCCAACAUUAACAAAAUGUGAGUUUCCUCCCAAGUUCAGUUCUAAACACGUCACUUUAGUGAUGUCUAAACUACACAGCACUUGAUGAGCAAAACAUUACUAUCUUCUAGCCACAUUUGUUUUCCCUGUCUCCCAGAGCAUUAUAGUCACCCAGGGAGAACUGCGUGUUCUACUUCGCUGCUGUAAAGCUAUUAUGGGUAUGAAAAGUUCCCAUUAAUCUGCUCCACACAUGGAUGUUUCUGGAUAAAGUUCAGUAGCCAGAUCCCUCUUUCUUUGUGUGCAUCAAACGAAGCAGAAAAAUGCCUCCAAUUUAAAGACACCAAAUGAAUAACCAAAUAGAUGAGAUUAAUUUUUGUUUAAUCCACGUGGGCAGCGAAGCCAAUGGCCAAUGUUUGUGUGUGGACUUCUCCCGGGAGUUCAUUACCAGCCGAGUCUGUAAUAAGUUAAUGCAGAGAUUCCAUGGAAAUAGGGGGUUAAUUAUAUGCAGAGGAUGUUGGCCAAUGUACAGCUUUGAACAACAAAAAUAGCCCAAGUCUUCUGUUUUGGAUGUGGAAUCAAUUAACGAGGUCUGUGACAUGUACCAGAAUUUGUUAAGAUAGUUGUACUAUAACGAUACUUAUUUUCUUCUUCCUCUUCUUUUAAUUUUUUUAAAAUAAAAAGCUAAAGAAAAUAAGUGGGUAAUGGAAGGCAAGGGAGAGAAAGACAUGAGACUGGUAAUAAAACACUGGACUUUGGCCUGGGGCCAAGGCAGGCUUUUCAAUGGGUCUGAAGUUUGGACGGCAGCACAGUUUGAACCAGUUUUCACUAACUGUCCAAAAGGUUAUACUGUAAUAGAUGGAGAGAAGAGGUUGAUUUUAGUUUACCAACUCCCCUCUCUCUGCUGGCAGGAGUGUUAUGCUGCUAAGAUGCCGUAGUCAUUACACUGAUGGAUAUCAGCAUGUGGCGCGGCAUGCUGCAGAUUCAACUCCGAAGCUGAAACACAAAAAAUUCUCCUUGAUGCUGGUUUUAGAAUGAAUUGUAUGUAUGGCAGAGGAAGACCAGAUUACUUUUACUUCAGAGCAGUGAAACACACUUUUGGCUGUUACAAGUUUUCAAGGAGCCACUUAACCAGGUAGAAUACAAAUUUGAAAGAAAAAGAUCUGACCCUUUUUCACCCCAUUUCACUUUAGGACAAGCUCUGGGCAUGUUCCAGUCAUUUCUAAAGUCCCUCACUGUUUGUUUUUUUUCCUCACCCCCUUCUUCCAACUUGGUCCCUAAACAUAUUAAUUUGU